GGAUUAUGCUGCAUCACGGACCAUUGUAGGUAGAAUCUUUUAAAAUAUAUUAGAGCUGUUGCCUGGAUUUUAUGAGGAAAAUGAAAGUUGUUGCAUACUUCUUGAAGUUUGUUUUCGUAAAAUACUCGCAUAAAUUGCUCUUCUUCAAUACUCAACGAUUUGGAGCGAGAAUGUUUGUCAGUAUUAUCUUUUGAAUUUAUCUGAGGGUCCGGAUAUGACAAUGAUCCGUCAGCAUCUACUUCCAUUAGUGUUGCUCCAAACUUCUCCAGAGCUUCGAUCGCUCUCUGGUUAGCAGCUUUGUACCUGUAAACCAGCUCCUGAGGAGACAAGAUCCAUUUGGC
This 341-nucleotide unclassified non-coding RNA is filed under the name Hevea brasiliensis (rubber tree). The record is from RNAcentral. Lineage: Eukaryota; Viridiplantae; Streptophyta; Magnoliopsida; Malpighiales; Euphorbiaceae.